This is a long non-coding RNA of Trifolium pratense (red clover), 746 nucleotides long. RefSeq lists it as uncharacterized. The transcript has 2 exons. NCBI's taxonomy places the organism in Eukaryota, Viridiplantae, Streptophyta, Magnoliopsida, Fabales, Fabaceae. The record is from RefSeq and is a predicted model, not a curated record.
UUUCAUCUUCUCUCUUGCAGAAUUCAUUCCCUCUCCUCGCCUUCUCCCUCUCUGCGACGUUCUACUACUUAGAGUUGUCACCGUCACCACCGCCGAGAGGUCUGUUCUGUCUCCGUCGUAUGUGCCUCUCUCUCUGAAUCGUGUUUUGUGCUCCAUAAGCUAACAGGCGGCUAAGCAUGCACAUGCAUCAUAUAUGCAGUCACUACUAGAUGACGAUGCUUAAACACAAUGACAGCGGGAUGUAGGUCAGGAUGACGUAGGGCAGCAAGACGCAUGUCAUCAAAGAGAUUCACCUGAUGUAGCCAACUCCAAGUUAUCAUCUGGUAUGAUUAGCUUGAAGCAACUAAUUUGCAAAUGGUGUCUGCUUGACAUGGAUUAUCUGAAACAACACUCGUUCAACAAGCUUAAAUGGGCAGUAAAAACAUUGAGAAGUUGAAGUUCAAGUUGUCUGAUGAGAGGAAGAAAAGGAAUUGGCUUAUCAUGAUUUUGUUGUUAUCAUGAGAAUUGUUUAUUGCAUAUUUAAUUACUUGGUAUUUACGGGGAAACUUAUGGAUUUUACUUGUAAUGUCAUGUACUUGAAAUAAUGUUAUAUGUUACUCUUGUUUUCUGUUUUGAUUGUUUUUUUAACAACUAUGUAAGGUUGAAGAUUAAUAUCAUAUUGUGUGUGGGAUGUAACUUGGUGUGAUGCUCAAAUUCUAUGUUGUCUCCUUUCCCCCAAUGUCUCAAGAAACUCUAGGCUAUUCUCA